Equus caballus (horse) is the source of this 2469-nucleotide long non-coding RNA. The record is from Ensembl. NCBI's taxonomy places the organism in Eukaryota, Metazoa, Chordata, Mammalia, Perissodactyla, Equidae.
CCCCGAUCUCUGCAGCCCAGCGCUGGAGGGAUGGGCGUGUCUCUCAAAGCUCAGAAGGGUGUGGGGGGCCGGGUUGGGGCGGGGGUCCGGUGGGUUUACAAGGCGUGACUCAGGUCAGCAAGCCUCUGGAAAGAGGAUCAAUCUCGGGACCCAGCUGUGGGGAGACGUCAGCUCCAUGCCUUGGCAGUGGAGCAGGGCUGGGUGUCCACCUGGUGGGCGCCCUUCCCAAUGGGGCUUGCCCCUAAACCAAGGAGUUGGGCAGGGCCGAGCCUUGAGAGAUUGGCCAGCGCAGCAGUUCUGGCCUGGGGUAGCCCUGCAGGAGCUCCUUGGCACCUUGUUUCUGGCCCUGAGAGGGCAAGGGUGGUAUUUGGGAGCAGUAGCAAAUGUACCGAGAGGCGUGAUGGCUGCGUCCUUGAGGAGCCCGCCGUUAGCAGGGACGUCAUUCAUUCACCCAUUCAGCAGAUGGUUCUGGACGGUCUCCUAUGCUCUGUUCUGGGCGCUGGCGAUCCAUCAAAGAAGAAAACGGAGUCUCUGCCUUCUAGACAAGUCAGUGGACACCGUGACCCCAGAGGGAAGUGCUGUGAGAGAGGGAUGUGCACAGAGGAGUGUCCCCCUGACCGUCAGGAGGCGUCAGAAGAGGCUUCUCAGAGGGCAAGUCCAGCGGGGCCUGAGCUCAGGAGGUUACCAGUCAGAGCGCGGGGAGGAGCAUUCCGGGGCAUGGGCCCGGCCGUGGCACUGUGAGGACAUCGUCCAGUGGAUUUGAGCUGAGGGACUGCGGGGGCAGGGGAAGGGAGAGGAGGCAGGAAAGACAGGCUGGGCCCCGCCCACUUGUGAAAAGCUUGGACUUCAUCCUGGAGACAAAGGAGUCAAGUCGCAGAGUCGUCAGAAGAGAGGGACUUUCCGCCCUGAGGCCCGGUUCAGACUGCCCAGGGAGGGUCCCUCCCUCCCACUCUGUCCCUGCCUCUGCCCUGAGGCGGGGGGCUCUGGCUCCACAUCCCAGGCGUUGGUGCAGAUGCUGCCACUCCAUCCACCCUCUGGAAGAGGAGGCAGGGCCUGGCCCGGCUGCAGCCACGUUGGCAGGGUCACUGCCCCAGUCCCUGGCCUGUCGCUCUGGCUCACCCCCACCCGCUCACUGCCCGUCCUCUAGCCUCCUCCUCUUCUGCUUCCCGGUUCCCUGGGUGAACUCUUCCGGGUCAGGCUUCUCUCCGCAGGCCUCUGCUGCUCCCCAGGGAGGAAGACCAGCUGCAGUUUUAGCCCCUUGCCCAUUGCCUGGCUGAGAGAGGGUUAAGGGCUACUUGUUGAAUUCCGAAGCCUGGAGGGUUCCGGAACAGCAGCCUGGGCAGCAGCAAUGAGCCCCUUAACCUGACCUCAAGAACUUGCUGGAUGGAGCAUUGCAGAGAGAAAGCAGCAGACAGCCUGGUGGUUGCCGGCCUCGCCUCCCUUCCCAGUUGUCGGGAGGAGCCAUGGAGAACACCAUGAAGACGAAGGGCGAACUGGACCUCACGUGCCCCGGACGCCUCUCGGCUGGACUCCUGGAUGGAGAAGCAGGCAAGCAGAGGCUCAGAGAGGUUAAGGGGCUUGCCCAAGGUCACACAGCCCAGGGAAAGGGCAGAGUGGAGCUGCACCCAGUUCCAUCCAUUUCAGUCUCCUCUCCUGCCAUUCUGCCUUUCUCAUCUUCAGCCUGACCCGAUCUGCAGACAAACAGUUGCGGAGGGUCCGGCGGGGCCGGGCUCAGGGAGCGGAGGGCUGACGUUCUGAGCUCGAAGGCCGCACCGUCCAAAACGGCCGCCAGGAACCACACACGGCUCUUUAAGUUUAAUUAAAAUGAAAUAAAAUUAAAAAUUUAGUUCGUUGGUCUCACUUGUCACAUUUUAAGUGCUCGAUGUCCACAUGUGGCUCGAUAUCCACAUGUUGGAUAACACAGAUAUAGGACGUUUCUGGCACCGCAGGCAGUUCCACUGGGCAGCAUUGUUCUAAGCCAUCAGCGAGUCUGCCCCGUCUCCUCCUGACCGUCCUGGUGGAGGGGGAGUCGCUGACACAGGUGACAGACACGCCUGCUCUGAGGCAGCUCCCUCUGCAGCCGAGGCACCUGUGAUGCCAUCCUGCCACUCUACUCACCAACCGAGGCCUCGCUACUCCAGGUGUGGUCCAGGACCGCAGCAUCAGCAGCUCCCGGCAGCUUGUUAGAGACACAGGAUCUUGGGCUUCAUGCCAGACCCACUGAACGUGAACCUGCACUUUAACGAGAUCCCCAGGUGACUCAGGUGCACAUUUCAAGUUUGAGAAGCUCUGACUUAAGAGACAGACUGAGCGGGAUCAAAAUAUUGCCCCAGAUAUAGGAAACCAAACCGAUAUUUUUAGAUACAAAAAAUCAGCAUCAGCACCCCUCUCCCCGCAGGAGUGUGUGAUUCAGCUUCAGUCGCAGUCGGUUGAGCAUCUCUGUGCCACGUGAUCAAUGAGCAUAUUUCC